Empidonax traillii (willow flycatcher) is the source of this 218-nucleotide long non-coding RNA. RefSeq lists it as uncharacterized. The record is from RefSeq and is a predicted model, not a curated record. NCBI's taxonomy places the organism in Eukaryota, Metazoa, Chordata, Aves, Passeriformes, Tyrannidae. The transcript is spliced from 3 exons.
AGGACAUUGUAAACGAGAAGAACCCUACACUGAAGUACACUGUCCAGCAGCAAAUUGGCCAUGGGCUUUUUGGAGUGGUUUUUCAAGGAGUUGACAUUGCCACAGGAGGACAGGUGGCCAUAAAGAAGAUUUUUCUCCGAGACAGAAAGAACACAAUGGAACGACUUGUAACUGAGGUGUCAGUCUUGAAGAGCAUGAGACACCCCAAUAUUGUUGAC